GAUGAACGCUGGCGGCGUGCCUAAUACAUGCAAGUUGAGCGAACGGACGAGAAGCUUGCUUCUCUGAUGUUAGCGGCGGACGGGUGAGUAACACGUGGAUAACCUACCUAUAAGACUGGGAUAACUUCGGGAAACCGGAGCUAAUACCGGAUAAUAUUUUGAACCGCAUGGUUCAAAUGUGAAAGACGGUCUUGCUGUCACUUAUAGAUGGAUCCGCGCUGCAUUAGCUAGUUGGUAAGGUAACGGCUUACCAAGGCAACGAUGCAUAGCCGACCUGAGAGGGUGAUCGGCCACACUGGAACUGAGACACGGUCCAGACUCCUACGGGAGGCAGCAGUAGGGAAUCUUCCGCAAUGGGCGAAAGCCUGACGGAGCAACGCCGCGUGAGUGAUGAAGGUCUUCGGAUCGUAAAACUCUGUUAUUAGGGAAGAACAUAUGUGUAAGUAACUGUGCACAUCUUGACGGUACCUAAUCAGAAAGCCACGGCUAACUACGUG
Molecule: ribosomal RNA, 497 nt
Filed under: uncultured bacterium
Lineage: Bacteria
Description: partial 16S ribosomal RNA
Rfam family: Bacterial small subunit ribosomal RNA
Source: RNAcentral